GCGGGGUUUUAACAGUAUUUUUUUUUUUACUUUUGUCAAUAGUUUGUGUGUAUUUCAAAAGCCCAUCAAAUUAUAAACUUGUUAUCCGGGUUUUUAAUAAAUUUUAGGUUUCCACCAUCACUAAAGACACACGAUAAGAAACAUAACGUCCAGUGCCAAAUAUUUCAUGCAUAAGUUUUAUAGAUUCUUUUUUUUUAUGAAUAUUACUGUUAUGUGAUCAACGCCGGUUUUAAAUGCAAAUUUAUUUUGUAGUGUAUAAAUAAACUUUAGAAUGUUGAUUACGUAUUGUCCAGUUGCAAGUACUUUAUGCAUAUUUAGAGCGCACAAUAGUUUUGCAAGUUUUAAUGUUUUUACAGUUGUACUGUACACAUUAACUUUAAACUAAACUUUAAACUGAUGAUCGCGUAUUGUCCAGUUGCAAGUAUGUCAUGCAUAUUUAGAGAGAACAUACAAGUUUUAAUGUUUUUGCAGUUCUAUUUAGAGAGAACAUAGGCUACCUGUUUUUUUUUUUUUUUUUUUUUUUACAUUUUAACAUACAUGUUUUAAUGUUUUUACUGUUCUUUUGUUAAGAUAAACUCUAGACUGCUGGUUGCAUAUUGUCCAGUUGCAAGUAUUUCAUGCAAAUUAGAGAAAACAUACAAGUUUUAAUGUUUUUUUCAGUUCUCCUGAAUAAAUUAACUUUAGGCUGUUGAUUGCGAAUUGUCCAGUUGUCAGUAUUUCAUGCAUAAUUAGAGAGAACAUUAAAGUUUUAACGCGCAGAGAAAGGGACACUUUGACCCGCUAACUGUACUGUUUAACUCAACAUGUUUGCUUAAACAAUUUACAAACGAAAUAGCCGAAAUGACGCCCCCACUUUAAGCCAGUUUAAUUCUUCCGUUUUGAAAAAGUACUAACGUGCUUAUGUAUAUUUUUUUAAUGAAAUGGUAAAAUUAGUAUACGUUAAUGAAAUAGCAAUAACCAAAUAACGCUUGAUAUGGACACGUUUUGGGGAUUGGACACGUUUGGGGGUUAGUUGAGAAAUGGACACGUUUGGGCGUUUAUACAAAUGACACGCUUUGGCGCAGUUUUCAACUAGACAUGUUUGGGGGAAUCGGACACGUUUGGGGGAAGGACACGUUUCUGAGUGUAACAUAUAUAU
This 1138-nucleotide long non-coding RNA is filed under the name Mytilus galloprovincialis (Mediterranean mussel). Lineage: Eukaryota; Metazoa; Mollusca; Bivalvia; Mytilida; Mytilidae. The record is from RNAcentral.